UACGUAGGGUGCAAGCGUUUAAUCGGAAUUACUGGGCGUAAAGCGUGCGCAGGCGGUGAUGUAAGACAGAUGUGAAAUCCCCGGGCUCAACCUGGGAACUGCGUUUGAAACUACAAGGCUAGAGUGUAGCAGAGGGGGGUAGAAUUCCACGUGUAGCAGUGAAAUGCGUAGAGAUGUGGAGGAAUACCAAUGGCGAAGGCAGCCCCCUGGGUUAACACUGACGCUCAUGCACGAAAGCGUGGGGAGCAAACAGG
RNAcentral lists this ribosomal RNA (254 nucleotides) under uncultured bacterium. RNAcentral describes it as "partial 16S ribosomal RNA". It matches the Rfam family "Bacterial small subunit ribosomal RNA", at positions 524 to 776 of the family's 1533-position model. The record is from RNAcentral.